RNAcentral lists this ribosomal RNA (873 nucleotides) under uncultured Pseudomonadales bacterium. RNAcentral's name for it is "bacterial SSU rRNA". It matches the Rfam family "Bacterial small subunit ribosomal RNA", at positions 28 to 895 of the family's 1533-position model. Lineage: Bacteria; Pseudomonadati; Pseudomonadota; Gammaproteobacteria; Pseudomonadales. The record is from RNAcentral.
AUUGAACGCUGGCGGCAGGGCCUAACACAUGCAAGUCGAGCGGAUGAAGGGAGCUUGCUCCUGGAUUCAGCGGCGGACGGGUGAGUAAUGCCUAGGAAUCUGCCUGGUAGUGGGGGAUAACGUCCGGAAACGGGCGCUAAUACCGCAUACGUCCUGAGGGAGAAAGUGGGGGAUCUUCGGACCUCACGCUAUCAGAUGAGCCUAGGUCGGAUUAGCUAGUUGGUGGGGUAAAGGCCUACCAAGGCGACGAUCCGUAACUGGUCUGAGAGGAUGAUCAGUCACACUGGAACUGAGACACGGUCCAGACUCCUACGGGAGGCAGCAGUGGGGAAUAUUGGACAAUGGGCGAAAGCCUGAUCCAGCCAUGCCGCGUGUGUGAAGAAGGUCUUCGGAUUGUAAAGCACUUUAAGUUGGGAGGAAGGGCAGUAAGUUAAUACCUUGCUGUUUUGACGUUACCAACAGAAUAAGCACCGGCUAACUUCGUGCCAGCAGCCGCGGUAAUACGAAGGGUGCAAGCGUUAAUCGGAAUUACUGGGCGUAAAGCGCGCGUAGGUGGUUCAGCAAGUUGGAUGUGAAAUCCCCGGGCUCAACCUGGGAACUGCAUCCAAAACUACUGAGCUAGAGUACGGUAGAGGGUGGUGGAAUUUCCUGUGUAGCGGUGAAAUGCGUAGAUAUAGGAAGGAACACCAGUGGCGAAGGCGACCACCUGGACUGAUACUGACACUGAGGUGCGAAAGCGUGGGGAGCAAACAGGAUUAGAUACCCUGGUAGUCCACGCCGUAAACGAUGUCGACUAGCCGUUGGGAUCGUUGAGAUCUUAGUGGCGCAGCUAACGCGAUAAGUCGACCGCCUGGGGAGUACGGCCGCAAGGUA